UACGAAAGGUGCGAGCGUUAAUCGGAAUUACUGGGCGUAAAGCGUGCGUAGGCGGCUAUUUAAGUCGGAUGUGAAAGCCCCGGGCUCAACCUGGGAGGUGCAUCCGAUACUGGGUAGCUAGAGUGUAGUAGAGGGAGGUGGAAUUUCCGGUGUAGCGGUGAAAUGCGUAGAUAUCUGGAAGAACACCGAUGGCGAAGGCAACCUCCUGGGCCUGAAUUGACACUGAAGCACGAAAGCGUGGGGAGCAAACAGG
Molecule: ribosomal RNA, 253 nt
Filed under: uncultured bacterium
Lineage: Bacteria
Description: partial 16S ribosomal RNA
Rfam family: Bacterial small subunit ribosomal RNA
Source: RNAcentral